This 142-nucleotide ribosomal RNA is filed under the name uncultured eukaryote. Its description in RNAcentral is "partial 18S ribosomal RNA". It matches the Rfam family "Eukaryotic small subunit ribosomal RNA", at positions 1299 to 1458 of the family's 1831-position model. The record is from RNAcentral.
UGGUGGAGUGAUUUGUCUGGUUAAUUCCGUUAACGAACGAGACCUCGACCUUGUUAAAUAGUUCGGCGUAUCCCUGGAUACGUACGUGACUUCUUAGAGGGACUAUUGUGUGUGUAGCCAAUGGAAGUUCGAGGCAAUAACA